UCCAGCAGCUGAAAAAACUACAUCUACCCGUUUCACUGAACCUGGUCCUUCUCAGGAAUCAAAAUCUUAUUAUUCUCCCUACCCCGUAUACCCUGACUUUAAGCCUCCUUCUUCGCCUUCCCCAAUGGCACCUAGGGUAUCGCCCUCAUUGGUGCCUGAGAUUAAUUCAGGUAAUGGCCCAGUAACUCAGCUUCCAGUAGCAGAUAAACCAAGCAAUGACCAAGAUCUUGAUGAACCAAAGACAAGACCUCUUUCUCCUUUUACCAUGUAUGAAGACUUGAAGCCUCCUGCAUCACCAUCACCUUCGCCGAAGAAUCAUAGUAAUUAAAACACAUUGGAAGCAGGAAAAUCAUGUUGGAAGAACCUGUGCGGCAGCUUAAAAUAUAGGGGGAGUCACUA
Molecule: long non-coding RNA, 399 nt
Organism: Neltuma alba
Lineage: Eukaryota; Viridiplantae; Streptophyta; Magnoliopsida; Fabales; Fabaceae
Exons: 4
Source: RefSeq, a predicted model, not a curated record